RNAcentral lists this ribosomal RNA (677 nucleotides) under uncultured Ascomycota. Its description in RNAcentral is "LSU rRNA". It matches the Rfam family "Eukaryotic large subunit ribosomal RNA", at positions 555 to 1236 of the family's 3401-position model. Lineage: Eukaryota; Fungi; Ascomycota. The record is from RNAcentral.
UCUCGGGGAGUGUUAUAGCCCGUUGCGAAAUGCGGCCAGCUUGGACUGAGGUCCGCGCUUCGGCCAGGAUGCUGGCGUAAUGGUUGUAAGCGGCCCGUCUUGAAACACGGACCAAGGAGUCUAACAUCUGUGCGAGUGUUUGGGUGUCAAACCCGUACGCGUAAUGAAAGUGAACGGAGGCGGGAACCUCUCGGGGUGCACCGUCGACCGAUCCUGAUGUCUUCGGAUGGAUUUGAGUAAGAGCAUAGCUGUUGGGACCCGAAAGAUGGUGAACUAUGCCUGAAUAGGGUGAAGCCAGAGGAAACUCUGGUGGAGGCUCGCAGCGGUUCUGACGUGCAAAUCGAUCGUCAAAUUUGGGCAUAGGGGCGAAAGACUAAUCGAACUAUCUAGUAGCUGGUUCCUGCCGAAGUUUCCCUCAGGAUAGCAGUAACGUUUUCAGUUUUAUGAGGUAAAGCGAAUGAUUAGAGGCCUGGGGGUUGAAACAACCUUCACCUAUUCUCAAACUUUAAAUAUGUAAGAAGUCCUUGUUGCUUAGUUGAACGUGGACAUUUGAAUGUAUCGUUACUAGUGGGCCAUUUUUGGUAAGCAGAACUGGCGAUGCGGGAUGAACCGAACGCGGAGUUAAGGUGCCGGAAUGCACGCUUAUCAGACACCACAAAAGGUGUUGGUUCAUCUAG